RNAcentral lists this transfer RNA (72 nucleotides) under Bos taurus (domestic cattle). It matches the Rfam family "tRNA". From Rfam's summary of the family: Transfer RNA (tRNA) molecules are approximately 80 nucleotides in length. Their secondary structure includes four short double-helical elements and three loops (D, anti-codon, and T loops). Further hydrogen bonds mediate the characteristic L-shaped molecular structure. tRNAs have two regions of fundamental functional importance: the anti-codon, which is responsible for specific mRNA codon recognition, and the 3' end, to which the tRNAs corresponding amino acid is attached (by aminoacyl-tRNA synthetases). tRNAs cope with the degeneracy of the genetic code in two manners: having more than one tRNA (with a specific anti-codon) for a particular amino acid; and 'wobble' base-pairing, i.e. permitting non-standard base-pairing at the 3rd anti-codon position. RNAcentral also lists the same sequence under 3 other names. The record is from Rfam by way of RNAcentral. Lineage: Eukaryota; Metazoa; Chordata; Mammalia; Artiodactyla; Bovidae.
UCCCUGGUGGUCCAGUGGUGAGGACUCUGAGCUUUCACUGCUGAGGGCCAGGGUUCAAUCCCUGGUCGGGAA